Molecule: non-coding RNA, 46 nt
Organism: Larimichthys crocea (large yellow croaker)
Lineage: Eukaryota; Metazoa; Chordata; Actinopteri; Sciaenidae
Source: Rfam
ACAAAGGCCCUUUUAAGGGCCACCACCCCCCUGAGAGCCAAGUCCU